This 459-nucleotide ribosomal RNA is filed under the name uncultured bacterium. Its description in RNAcentral is "SSU rRNA". It matches the Rfam family "Bacterial small subunit ribosomal RNA", at positions 26 to 518 of the family's 1533-position model. The record is from RNAcentral.
AGAAUCAACGCUGGCGGCGUGCCUAACACAUGCAAGUCGCACGAGAAAGGGGAGCAAUCCCUGAGUACAGUGGCGCACGGGUGAGUAACACGUGAAUAAUCUACCUCCGAGUGGGGAAUAACUGAGAGAAAUCUUAGCUAAUACCGCAUAACACUUACGAGUCAAAGCAGCAAUGCGCUUGGAGAGGAGUUCGCGGCCGAUUAGUUAGUUGGCGGGGUAAUGGCCCACCAAGACGAUGAUCGGUAUCCGGCCUGAGAGGGCGCACGGACACACUGGAACUGAAACACGGUCCAGACUCCUACGGGAGGCAGCAGUGGGGAAUUUUGCGCAAUGGGGGAAACCCUGACGCAGCAACGCCGCGUGGAGGAUGAAGCCCCUUGGGGUGUAAACUCCUUUCGAUCGGGAAGAUAAUGACGGUACCGAUAUAAGAAGCCCGGCUAACUUCGCGCCAGCAGCCGC